AAAACCUCCACAGGGUUUCUCAUGUUACAAGAGCAAAUAGGAAAGGAGCCCCAACUGGGGAUUGUAGCACUAAGUGUUAAGUUGGGUAAACACUAAAGAAACUGGAGAAUGUUCUGGGUCUCUUUACCUUCUUUUAAAUGUAAGAAGCCAGUGAAGGAAGUGGCAGCUGAACAGAAUACGGGACUGUUGUUCACCGACUCACCCCACAGGCAGGAUUGGAGAGAGGAGGUGGAAAACCUAUCCCCUGAUGGCACAGCAGAGACAGAGGUUCAGUGGAAUGUCACUGUCACUACUGAUAAAUCAAGUACGUCAUCUUUCCACUACCUCAGCACCUCGCAGAGAGAGCACAGUGGAACAGCAGGAACCUCGCAGCCGGGGUCAGAGUCCUGGGUUCUGGUCCUUAAUCUGCCUCCAUGGGCUGUGUGACUGUGGAUGAUUCAGUUCCCUUCUCUGGGCUUCAUUCAUCAGUAAAAUGGGGUGGGGAGAGGGGAGAUACUAGAGGACUCUUUUUUUUUUCCUCCAUUUUUUUUUUAUUGUGGUAAAAAACAACAUACAAUUUACCAUCGUAACCAUUUGUAAGUGUGCAGUUCUGUAGUGUUAAGUAUAUUUAUAUUGUUGUGAAAUAGAUUUUUUUAUCUUGCAAAACUGAAACUAUGCCUAUUAGACAACUCCCUGGGACGCCUGGGUGGCUCGGUUGGUUAAGCGUCUGCCUUCGGAUCACAUCUUUUGAAUAGAUACCUUAAAGUAGGAUUGCUGGAUCAUAUGGUAGUUCCAUUCUUAAUUUUUUGAGGAACCAUCCUACCUUUUUGCACAGCAGCUGCGCGGGGUUUACGUCCCCCCGCCCCGGAAGCGCACCCGAGUUCCAGUGCACCCUCACUAACACCAUCUCCUGUUUUUGUCUUGCUAGUAGCCAUCUUAAUGGGUGUGAGGCGGUAACCCUUUGUGGUUUUGACUUGCAUUUCUCUGAUGGUUACUGAUGCGGCAUCUUUUCACUUGCUUAUUGGCCAUUUGUAUAUUAUCUUUGGAAACAUGUCUAUUCAAGUCCUUUGCCCAUUUUUUGAAUGGGGAUUACUUAAUUUUUUUUGUUGUUAAGUCACAUACUAGAUGACUGUUGACUCUCCACCUUCGACAUUUGUAACUCUAGAUUCUUAGUGUCCUUAAGCAACUUUUUCAUCUCUUGAUUCCUUUCAAGAGACAGAGAAGGGGCGCCUGGGUGGCUCAGUUGGUUAGGCCUCCAACUCUUGAUUUCUGCUUAAGUCAUGAUCUCAGGGUCGUGGGUUCGAGCCCUGCAUUGGGCUCUGUGCUCAGCGGGGAGUCUGCUUGGGAUUAUCUCUCUCCCUCUGUCCCUCCUUCUCCCUUUCCCUCUCUCUCUCAAAU
Molecule: long non-coding RNA, 1377 nt
Filed under: Ursus maritimus (polar bear)
Lineage: Eukaryota; Metazoa; Chordata; Mammalia; Carnivora; Ursidae
Description: lncRNA (ENSUMAG00000003086.1)
Source: RNAcentral